This 483-nucleotide ribosomal RNA is filed under the name uncultured Saprospiraceae bacterium. RNAcentral describes it as "bacterial SSU rRNA". It matches the Rfam family "Bacterial small subunit ribosomal RNA", at positions 28 to 505 of the family's 1533-position model. The record is from RNAcentral. Lineage: Bacteria; Pseudomonadati; Bacteroidota; Saprospiria; Saprospirales; Saprospiraceae.
GAUGAACGCUAGCGGGAGGCUUAAUACAUGCAAGUCGAGGGGCAGCAUUGGUUUUCGGAUCAGAUGGCGACCGGCGCACGGGUGAGUAACGCGUACACAAUCUACCUUUAACUGGAGAAUAGCCCUGGGAAACUGGGAUUAAUGCUCCAUGGUUUUGCUACAUUGCAUGAUGUUGGUAAAUAAAGAUCCGUCGGUUAAAGAUGAGUGUGCGUCCUAUUAGCUAGUUGGUGAGGUAACGGCUUACCAAGGCGACGAUAGGUAGGGGGCGUGAGAGCGUGAUCCCCCACACGGGUACUGAGACACGGACCCGACUCCUACGGGAGGCAGCAGUAAGGAAUAUUGGACAAUGGAGGCAACUCUGAUCCAGCCAUCCCGCGUGUAGGAUGACGGCCCUAUGGGUUGUAAACUACUUUUAUACGAGAAGAACCGUAGUCAUUUAUGAUUACCUGACGGUAUCGUAAGAAUAAGCACCGGCUAAUUCCG